RNAcentral lists this ribosomal RNA (1167 nucleotides) under Triticum aestivum (bread wheat). Its description in RNAcentral is "partial small subunit ribosomal RNA". Lineage: Eukaryota; Viridiplantae; Streptophyta; Magnoliopsida; Poales; Poaceae. The record is from RNAcentral.
AUGGCCGCGGCCAGGCCGCACCACAGGGCGCCGCCGGGGCGCGUGCCCACGAGGUGCGUCGCCGCGCUCUGCGCCGCCUGCUUCCUCCUCGGCGUCUGCGUCGUCAACCGCUACUGGGCGGUUCCCGAGCCACCCGAUUGCCCAAGCAAGGCGAACUCUGGGCGUUCGAGGGCCGUGCUGAGCCAAGCACAAACCCGCGAAGUCAUCAUCGCGUUGGACAGAACGAUAUCGGACAUCGAGAUGCGCCUGGCCGCCGCCAGAGCCGCGCAGAUGAGGAACCAAGGCGUGUCGCCGAGUGAUUCAGCCGCUGACCAGGGAAACAUGCGACCUAGAUUGCUUUUCGUCAUGGGUAUCAUGACCACAUUCGAUAAUCGGAGGCGCAGAGACUCUAUCAGGAAGACGUGGAUGCCACAAGGUAGAGCCUGUGAGCGUUUGCGAAUGCUGGAGAAGGACAAGGGCAUUGUCACGCGUUUUGUUAUUGGACGAAGUGCAAAUCCUGGUCCUGACAGUGAAGUGGAGCGUGCCAUGGAUGCAGAAGAGAAAGAAUACAAUGAUAUUCUUAGACUUAAUCACGUUGAAGGCCAGGAUGGGCUUCCUUUGAAGAUUCAGAUGUUUCUUUCAAGUGCUCUGUCCACGUGGGAUGCUGAUUUCUAUGUCAAAGUUGACGAUGAUGUUCAUGUCAACAUUGGUAUUACCAGAUCGAUUUUGGCACGACAUAGGUCAAAACCUCGGGUGUACAUCGGCUGCAUGAAAUCCGGACCUGUGAUCGCUAACAAUGAAUCUAAAUAUUACGAACCAGAUCAUUGGAAGUUUGGGACUGCGGGUAACAACUACUUUAGGCACGCAACACGGCAGCUGUAUGCUAUAACAAGGGACUUGGCGACCUACAUAUCAGCAAACAAGCAUAUCUUGCACAAAUAUACAAAUGAAGAUGUAUCAUUUGGUUCUUGGUUGAUUGGGUUGGAUGUUGAGCAUGUUGAUGAGAGAAGCCUUUGUUGUGGUAUUCCUCCAGACUGCGAAUGGAAGGCGCAGGCUGGGAACCCAUGUGGGGCAUCCUUCGACUGGAACUGCUCCGGCGUCUGCAAUCCAGCAGAGAGAAUGGAGGAGGUGCACCGGCGAUGCUGGGAACAUCGCGAGGCUGCUCUGCCACAAGCGCAGGAGUCUUGA